Molecule: ribosomal RNA, 263 nt
Filed under: uncultured bacterium
Lineage: Bacteria
Description: partial 16S ribosomal RNA
Rfam family: Bacterial small subunit ribosomal RNA
Source: RNAcentral
GCUCGCGUCUGAUUAGCUAGUUGGUGAGGUAAUAGCUUACCAAGGCGAUGAUCAGUAGCUGGUCCGAGAGGAUGAUCAGCCACACUGGGACUGAGACACGGCCCAGACUCCUACGGGAGGCAGCAGUGGGGAAUUUUCCGCAAUGGGCGAAAGCCUGACGGAGCAAUGCCGCGUGGAGGUGGAAGGCCUACGGGUCGUCAACUUCUUUUCUCGGAGAAGAAACAAUGACGGUAUCUGAGGAAUAAGCAUCGGCUAACUCUGUG